This is a long non-coding RNA of Anneissia japonica, 315 nucleotides long. RefSeq lists it as uncharacterized. The transcript has 2 exons. Lineage: Eukaryota; Metazoa; Echinodermata; Crinoidea; Comatulida; Comatulidae. The record is from RefSeq and is a predicted model, not a curated record.
AAAAGGAUUGUUUGAUCAUUGAUUCGUUGCUUCAAAAAUACAACAAAAUUCAUCAAACCGUUAUUGAACCAAACACUAAUUCCAUUGGAAAGUUUCAAGAUCGAGUAGAAUUAGAAUUGGAACGGAAGGGUGUCGAAUUCGACUGGAAAAAUGAACAUUUGGAAGAAUACUUGAGUGAUGUUAACAACAAGCAGAAGUUUCAUUUCAUUCACUGUAUUCAUAGCCUAUACUACUCCAGCCACCCUAUCGACAUCAUCAAACAAUUAUAUGAUCGCUUGGCAGAAGGGGGUGUAAUUAUGAUUGUACACCACUCAG